GGAUGCGAUCAUACCAGCACUAAAGUACCGGAUCCCAUCAGAACUCUGAAGUUAAGCGUGCUUGGGAUCGAGUAGUACUAGGAUGGGUGACCUCUUGGGAUGUCCUCGUGUUGCAUUCC
Molecule: ribosomal RNA, 119 nt
Organism: Hordeum vulgare subsp. vulgare (domesticated barley)
Lineage: Eukaryota; Viridiplantae; Streptophyta; Magnoliopsida; Poales; Poaceae
Source: RefSeq, a predicted model, not a curated record